GCACAUAUUCAAGUCUGUAGUCUGGAACACAUGGUAGACCAUGCGUGUUAAUAUGCAAGAGAGAAGAAAAGACGAAUUAUUUGCAGAAUCCAGAAGAUGUUAGAUUGAUUCCAACUUGAAACAACCACUUGCACAGAUAUUACAAAUGAAACUCAUGGUCAAAUUGAGAAGAAACCACAGGCUCUAUCUUUGAGAAUUGAGAAUAAGUCCUGCAGAUCCAAGUAUGCCUUUUGGAAUUACUGAACACAAAGCCUUUAGCUUACGACAUGAACGUGAUGUGAAAUAUGAAAUUCAAGUACAGGCUUUGGUUGAUGAAGAAUGGAAAGUCUUUAGUACUGGUUACAUAUGCCAGAAAUUUGGCACCACCAAGAAAUGCAGCCAAAGUCAGGUCCUAUCGGUGGCUGGAUUGACAAUGCCUGUUUAUGCGACCUUUGCUCUUUUUUUCCCGGUAUCUUUCAAAGGAAACAAACUGUCCAAAAGUGUGUUGUAAGAUGAGUGAAUGAGAUACCAUUAUUAAGAAACAACUAUUUGUUUCAAAAAUUUCACCUCAGAGGGGAUGUCAACUUCAUUUUACCUUUGUAAGUUUCCUGUUAGUAAACACAUG
Non-coding RNA from Chiloscyllium plagiosum (whitespotted bambooshark), 604 nucleotides. Lineage: Eukaryota; Metazoa; Chordata; Chondrichthyes; Orectolobiformes; Hemiscylliidae. The record is from RefSeq and is a predicted model, not a curated record.